GCGGGGAGCCGGCGGCCAGGGCGGCGCUCAGACUGGGCCGGGAGCUCCGGCUGCGCGGGCUCUCGGCGGCCGCGGCGACAGCAUCCUCCACCGCCUCCUCUCUUUCUUUUCUUCCCCUCCGCUUCUUUCUUUUCUUUCUCCUUCUCCUCCUUAUUUUCCUGCCCUGUCCCACCCCCACCCACCCCCCUGCUCCUUCUCCAGAGGACCUUAGGUCCUCAAGUCCCUGAGCGGUGGCAGCGGCGACUGCGGGUGCAUCGUUUCCGCGCCCAGAUUUUAUUGAUCUGAUCCAACCUGUCUUGUGACUGCUAGCUGGAAUUAAGAAGAAAAAAUAAACACCAAUAUCUUGACACAUGGGAGCCAAAUGUUCCAACUGACAUUCAUGCUGUCUGGAUUUGUUUUAUUUUGGAAUGAAUAUUACCAAGCUUGUUUGCAGUUAAAGAUCCUUCAGAUUGUUGUCUCUAAUCGAGGAAACAUUGAUUGGAAACUACUCAUUCAGAAAAUUAAAAGAAAGAAACCAGAACAUAUUAUCAACCUUUGAGAACACAAUAUAACGAACUUUACCAUUUUACCACUUCUUUGAACAGGAAACAUCCCAGGACAUUGAAGAAUGGCAGAUGAUCGGAAAGAUGAAGCAAAGGCGCCUCACUGGACCUCAGCUCAACUUACAGAGGCAUCCGCCCAACCACACCCACCGGAGAUCAAGGAUCAAGGUGGGGCAGGGGAAGGACUUGUCAGAAGCGCCAAUGGAUUCCCCUACAGAGAGGAUGAAGAGGGCGCCUUUGGAGAACAUGGGUCCCAGGGCACCUACUCAAAUACCAAAGAGAACGGAAUCAACGGAGAACUGACCUCAACUGACAGAGAAACAGCAGAGGAGGUGUCUGCAAGGAUAGUUCAAGUAGUCACGGCGGAAGCUGUAGCAGUCCUGAAAGGUGAACAAGAGAAAGAAGCUCAGCCUAAAGAUCAACCUCCUGCUCUGCCUUUAGCAGCUGAAGAGACAGCUAAUCUGCCUCCUUCUCCACCCCCAUCACCAGCCUCAGAACAGACUGUCCCAGUGGAGGAAGCAGCAGGUGCUGAAUCAGCUCAGGCUCCCAGUGUAUUUAAACAGGCAAAGGACAAAGUCUCUGAUGGAGUUACCAAGAGCCCAGAGAAGCGCUCUUCUCUGCCGAGACCUUCCUCCAUCCUUCCUCCUCGCCGAGGUGUCUCAGGAGACAGAGAUGAGAACUCCUUCUCUCUCAACAGUUCUAUCUCUUCUGCGCGGCGGACCACUCGGUCAGAGCCAAUUCGCAGAGCAGGAAAAAGUGGCACUUCCACACCCACUACCCCUGGAUCAACCGCCAUCACUCCUGGCACCCCACCAAGCUAUUCUUCACGCACCCCGGGCACUCCUGGAACCCCCAGCUACCCCAGGACCCCUCACACACCAGGAACCCCCAAGUCGGCCAUCUUGGUUCCCAGUGAGAAGAAAGUCGCCAUUAUACGCACGCCUCCGAAAUCUCCUGCUACUCCCAAACAGCUUCGGCUUAUCAACCAACCACUGCCAGACCUGAAGAAUGUCAAAUCCAAAAUUGGAUCCACAGACAACAUCAAAUACCAGCCUAAAGGGGGCCAGGUACAGAUUGUCACCAAGAAGAUAGACCUAAGCCAUGUGACAUCCAAAUGUGGCUCUCUGAAGAACAUCCGCCACAGGCCAGGUGGUGGGCGUGUGAAAAUUGAAAGUGUGAAGCUAGAUUUCAAAGAAAAGGCCCAAGCUAAAGUCGGUUCGCUUGACAAUGCUCACCACGUUCCCGGAGGUGGUAAUGUCAAGAUUGACAGCCAAAAGUUGAACUUCAGAGAGCAUGCUAAGGCCCGUGUGGACCAUGGGGCUGAGAUCAUUACACAGUCCCCAGGCAGAUCCAGCGUGGCUUCCCCCCGACGACUCAGCAACGUCUCCUCUUCUGGAAGCAUCAACCUGCUUGAAUCCCCCCAGCUUGCCACCCUGGCCGAGGAUGUCACUGCCGCACUCGCUAAACAGGGCUUGUGAAUAUCUCUCAUUUAGUAUUGAUGUCAUACUAUUUAGGCAUGAGCUCUGGCAGGAGUGGGCUCUGAGCAGGUGUUAUAUUCAUUCUUUACAAACCGUAAAAUAAAUAAUCUCAUUCCCAAACUGUAGUAAUUGUUACAAUUUUAUAAAAAAAAAUAGUAUAUGCAGAAAUUGAUUUGAUUUCCAUUUGCAACAGGAAGAUACUGGCUUUACAUGAGUACAAUUGGACAAUUUUUUUUUCGCUCUGCUGUUUUGCAUGGAGUAUCAUUAUUUUAAAAAUUGCAUUUCUACCUUUCAUGUGCCUGAAGGCUAUCUACUACAUUCUGAAAGGCCUUGUUAAAAUCCAAGCUGCUCAUUUCACUAUUCUGUUGCUGGGUGAAAAGAUAAAAAGUUGCCCCUUGUAACUUAUUACAGGUUAAAUUAAAUCAAGGAGUCAUUGCAGGAAGGGAAGAGCAUGUAAGAAAUGGUUUUUUUUUAAAGCGUUAUUUUGUAUAAAUGGGAAGAAAGAUUCAAUUAAGUUAUUAACGUUUGGGACCUGGAUAAUUAUAUCAGAGUAUAAGUCAAUCCAAUAAAUUAUUUAAUUAAUUAAAAAAUAGUUUCGAAGCAUUUGAGCUGUGGUUGAGGAAGUGAAAGUGCAUCUCUUAGGAAUGAAGCACUUUCAUUAGGAUGGACUUGUGUCUGGUUAGGAUGUCAGUUGAUCAGCUAGAUUUGUGUCCACACUACCAGUUUCACACCCUUUCCAUCUGUUUGAUACAGUAUUAUAGAUAUAAAUAUAUAUAUAUAUUUCUCUGUGGCCAUUUGUGAUACUUCCUCAUACUUGAAUAUUAUACUUCCUUAUUCACAGUAUCUGUGUCUCCUGCACCCUUUGGUGUUGCAAUUUUAGGUAUGUGAAAGUAGAUGUUAGCAGGGUUCUCUCCCUAUUAAAAAAAAAAAAGUUAAAAAAGACAAAAAGUUUUAGCAUGAAGUUGCUUUCUGUAACAACUCAAAACUGUAACCCUGUUUUAGUGCCAGAUACAAGUUUCUCCCAUUAAAGUUUCUCCCGUGAUGCUAGAAAAAAUUUAUUUUUCUUUGCUUUCACCAACAUGGAGUUUGUUGGGGGUGGGUCCAGUUAUACAUAAAAGGGGUUUACAGAUUGUUGGUUUAAGAUUAUGGGUUUGUCUUAUUUUGAAUCACAGAAUAUUUUGGGGUUUACUCCUAUAAUCAUUCAUGGAAUAGACUUAUUAAGAUUUCUUUUUCUUUUUUUUCCAUUUGCUAAAGUUGAAACUAACAGUGGGAGUUUGGGACAUGAUAUUCCAUUCUUCCAAGCAGUACCUGUUUAUUCAGUUAUCUGAUAGAAAAUGUUUGGCCUCCAUACCCGAAGUAAGAUCCCUUGAUCAGAAAGGGAAAAUACAGUAUUUUGAGAAGCUACAAAAUAUUGGAGAUGCAGAUAUCUAAAUCAGUUUUUUCAUGAUUCCAACAUUGCACUCUAUAAAGGAAUACUGUUUUACUAUUAUUUAUCAGUAGCUAAUACGGUUCUGACUUUAUAUACAGUCUAGACAUCACAAAUCAACUAAUUCUUCUUUAAGAAUCAUUCAUCUUAAAUUUAUGAAGAAGCAAUGAAAUAGUCAUUAUUAGUCUGAGUAGGGCAAUGGGUUACUAUGAUGAAUGGAUGCUUUUUAGUAUUUAUCUGUUCUUUUUCUUGCUCAGGGCUGGUAGGCUGGAUCUGAAAAGUUAAAGGCAAAUGUUUCAAUAGGGUUUGAUCCCUUUGAGUCAAAUCAGUUCUCAAGCAUAAAGGAGGAAAUGAUGAACAUGGACUGAGGCAAUAAGCUAGUAUAGUAGCAUCUAAGAACGAAGCUGAAGGAUGGAAAGGCAGAGAGACACGGGUGCCGUGUUGUGACCCAUUGGAAGUUACAGCCAACGUGACUUCCGUGAAAGAAACUCUGUGAGCAAAAGUGCACCAUUCACUGUCAACUAAGAGAUUUUACGGAGGCAAACAUUUCUGAAACUAUAGCUCAGUUAUUUAGGAUAGUCAAAGAUUUAGAAAGGACUGAUUAGGACUAUGGGUGUGUCUAUUUUCUGUCUAAUUAUUGCUGUGAGGUUUGAUUUGACCAAUCUGGGCAUUUUAUUCAUCAGCUUCCUUUGAAAUGCACCAGGAAAUAGGAAAAGAAAGAAUAGCUGUGUGGGGACUUAAUGGUAUUUUCUUAUGUGUUAGGUAGUGUUAGGUAGUGAUUAAAGCUCUAGAAAGAAAUUAACAGCUGGUUAGAACAAUUUUAACCUGUGAAACAUGUAUUUUUUUCAACUUGGUUUAAAAUUUUUAUAAACACUAAGUAACCAUGUUCUACAUAUUAAAAUUGUUUUUUUACAAAUACAUGUCUAAAAUAAAGAUUAUAUAAGGUACCCAGUGAUUAGAUUUGGCAUUAAAACAAAUGUUUGCUUCAAAUCACAGCAAAAUUACAAUGACUAAAUACCCUCACUUUGUAUGGAAAUUAAUAAUUCUAUAAAAUGAAAUUGAAAAUUGGUAGCAGUAAAAGAAAGAAAUACAGGCUAACUGUCUUCUUUGGGGGAUAAGGGGUGGAACCCAUCUUACCUUUACUCUCAAGAUUAACGACACAAAUUAAGCUUUUUGAACACCACUCUUGUGGGGACAUCCAUACGCUGAUCUAGAAAUUAAGGCUUCAUAGUCUCAAUUCUAGAUCAAUUAAUGCCAGUUUCUCUCUGGCUUUUGCCUUGGAGAACCUGUUUAAGGAAACAUAAGUAAUCCAGAGCUAUGAAGAGUUAAAAGGCCCACUCACUCUCUCUGGGUCACCUGCAACCAAUAAUUGGGUACCUUUCAAUGAUGCAGGAGAGAUCCGAGUUCAUGAUGAGUUUCAAAGGCCAUGUUCAUUUAGGAACCAACUCUCUCUGGAUUCUCCUGCUGAGUUCCAGCAGGGUGAUGGGCUGAAAUCCCACCCACAAGCAAGACACCUGUGGAUCACCAACGAGGUAUAGCUGAAGAAGGCUGAAGUGAGAACUUGGUUAAAUGGAAGAAAGUACUGACAGUAGCUGGCCUUCUCCACAUACUCACAUAGUUUUAGAGCAGGAAAUGGGAUCAUCAGGCAAAAUAAGAGAUCAAGUCACUAUUAAAGAAAUCAUCUCAAUGUGGUUGAUUUUUGACAUAGCUGCAAUUAUAGCAUUUUCUCCUAUUUUUUACACUAUGAAAAGGAGGAAAACAAACCAUUCAUGGUCUAAGUAGCUAGAAAAGGUAGAUUCAUGGUUUGAAAAGGCAAAUUCUAGGCAUUCUUUCCAAGAUUAAUAUGUUAAAUCAGUAUUGAUGUUUGUUUUUUUAAACCUAGGGUUUUUAGCCUGGGUAUGUAGGUUGAGGCCAAGUCCCUCUGCAGGAAAAAGCUUAUUUUUAAACUCAGAAAAUGUCAAUCAUGAUACUUCAACUUUAGCAAAAAGAAAAAAAUCAACAAAAAGUAUACUCUGUAUGCUGGGAUUCCAAGGUUCCAACAUGCCGCUACAAAUCUGUGGGGGGUUUCUUUCUUCUGAUAAUUCUAGAGCCUGUUACCAUAGAAAGGCAUUUCUUCAAUGGCUGGUUGUAGUUAGUUCAUGUUUUUCAAUCAAAAUUUGCAAAUGUAUUUGUUGCUGUAUAGUGAUUGUUUUGCAAAAUAAAAUUGCUUGUCACCU
RNAcentral lists this long non-coding RNA (5662 nucleotides) under Bos indicus x Bos taurus (hybrid cattle). Its description in RNAcentral is "lncRNA (ENSBIXG00005002414.1)". The record is from RNAcentral. Lineage: Eukaryota; Metazoa; Chordata; Mammalia; Artiodactyla; Bovidae.